AUGGUCUGGCUGAUCAGGACCUUUUUAAUUCGGGAUGGCCUCUCCACCCUUUUCAAAGAAGACGGCCCAUCUGAAUAUCAAGUUUAUUACCUGAGGCACAUGGAGAAUUGGGGAACAUCAGCACGUAAACAGAAAGAGCUUUCCAAACUGUUGGAUCAAUGGGCUGUCCACAUUACAGGAAAGUGUGGCAAUAAGCCACUCUCGUCCUCAGCGUAUCUUGAUGAGGCAGAGCCUUUCCUUGAACAAUAUGCUAACCAGGAUCUGGUAGGGGCGGCUGGUGUCUUGGUUCAAGCAGAAAAUUUGAGAGAUGGAGAGGAUGAUCUUCAGCCAGAACGUGGGACAGCACCUUGUAGUCCUACAACGUCUCUCGAUGCUGUUUCCAAAACUGAGGGCCUUAUUGUCUUCUUUCCUGGUAUACCUGGUUGUGCAAAGUCUGUUCUAUGUAAGGAAAUAUUGGAAAUGCCUGGUGGCCUUGGUGAUAAUCGCCCUCUUCAUUGUAUGACAGGAGAUCUUAUUGGAGGAAGAUACUGGCAAAAGGUUGCUGAUAAGCGAAAAGAGGAACCAUUUAGAAUAACCCUCGCCAAUAAAAACGCACCAAAUGAGGAAGUGUGGCGGCAGAUUGAGGAUAUAUGCCGGACCACAAAAGCAGCUGCCGCUCCUGUUAUUCCUGAUUCUGAAGGCACCGAUACAAAUCCAUUUUCUUUGGAAGCUCUUGCUGUUUUCAUGUUUCGUGUGCUCCAACGGGUCAAUCAUGAUGGACAUCUGGACGAGGCAUUAUGGAAUGCUGGUUAUGUUUUGCUAAAGUUUUACAACCUUUAUGAGGGCAAGGAAAAAUGCACUUCCAGAGUCGAAGUGAAUUCGAAAGCGAUCUGUAUGAGCGUUUCGGCUUCUUGGUUAAGACGCCUCUCCUGA
Molecule: ribosomal RNA, 912 nt
Filed under: Triticum aestivum (bread wheat)
Lineage: Eukaryota; Viridiplantae; Streptophyta; Magnoliopsida; Poales; Poaceae
Description: partial small subunit ribosomal RNA
Source: RNAcentral